Molecule: ribosomal RNA, 348 nt
Filed under: uncultured bacterium
Lineage: Bacteria
Description: partial 16S ribosomal RNA
Rfam family: Bacterial small subunit ribosomal RNA
Source: RNAcentral
CCUACGGGUGGCAGCAGUGAGGAAUAUUGGUCAAUGGACGAGAGUCUGAACCAGCCAAGUAGCGUGAAGGAUGACUGCCCUAUGGGUUGUAAACUUCUGUUAUAAAGGAAUAAAACGAGGCACGUGUGCCUUUUUGCAUGUACGUUAUGAAUAAGGAUCGGCUAACUCCGUGCCAGCAGCCGCGGUAAUACGGAGGAUCCGAGCGUUAUCCGGAUUUAUGGGGUUUAAAGGGAGCGUAGAGGGGUUGUUAAGUCAGUUGUGAAAGUGUGCGGCUCACCCGUAAAAUGGCAAUUGAUACUUGCAGUCUUGCUUACAGUUGCGGUAGGCGGACUUCGUUGUGUAGCGGUG